Panthera uncia (snow leopard) is the source of this 3026-nucleotide RNA transcript. It is a transcript of the gene named PBX homeobox 1, with no coding region annotated. Lineage: Eukaryota; Metazoa; Chordata; Mammalia; Carnivora; Felidae. The transcript is spliced from 9 exons. The record is from RefSeq and is a predicted model, not a curated record.
CGGCUCGCUAAACAUGUCCUGGGGAAAGGGCACAAAGGGAGAAGAAAACCUCUAAGGGAGUGGUCAUUCUAGGACCCUCAUCCAAUUUGGGUUCAAAACUCAAAGUUGCCAGAUACAGAUCAGUUAGCGGAUGGCAGUAACUUACAUUUGUGUGACCCCUAUUAGCAUCCGUGGAGAGGUGUGCAGCUUCCAGAUGUCCUAUCAGGUGUUCCGGCACCUGAUGCCCACCAGGGUGCCUUGCGGUGGAAGAGAGAGCCCUGUUCUGUAGAAGAGGAAACCCAGCAUUUCAAGGAAUGGCCCGGAGGUCCUGUAAAAAGCAUCCACAAUAAGACUUUCUUUUAAAGACUUGUAUUUUUUUAAGUUUAUUUAUUUAUUUUGAGAGAAAGAGCAGGAACAGAGGAGGGGCCGAGAGAGAGGGAGAGAGAGAAUCCCAAACAGGCAGUGCAGAGCUCAAUGCAGGGCUUGAUCUCACGAACAGUGAGAUCAUGACCUGAGCUGCAGUCAGGUGCCUAACCGACUGAGCCACCCAGGCGCCUCUAAAGACGAUUGUUAAGUAACCUCUACACCCGACGUGCGGCUCGAACUCAUAACCCCGAGAUCCAGACUCAAAUGCUCUACUGAGCCAGCCAAGUCCCCCGCCUCCACAACUAAGACGUUUAAGUCUGGCCCUGCGAUUCCGAAGCCAGUGCUCCUUCUAACUGGCUACAUGGCUUCCCCUCUGUUAUCUUGACUCACACAACAAAUGAGACAAGCAGGGUUUGUGUCAUUAUCUUCUUCCCUGUGCUACAACCCGGAGAACCGAGGUGGAGAGGCUAAAUGCUUUGCUUGGGGUUGCUUGCAUGGGUGGGGGUAGAAGGGACCUUCAAACCCAGACCAUGUGAAUGGAAUCAAAGCCUUUCUGCUGUGUCAUCUUGCUUAAUGUGUCGGGAACCACCACCCCACCUGGCUGCACACGACAUGCCCACGCCCACACUUGCUUUGGAUCCAUCACUGGGUAAGCUAGUCUUGAGUAUCCGGGGAGCCCAGGAGGAGGAGCCGACAGACCCCCAGCUGAUGCGACUGGACAACAUGCUGCUGGCCGAGGGGGUGGCGGGCCCCGAGAAGGGUGGUGGCUCGGCGGCAGCCGCAGCCGCAGCGGCGGCUUCGGGAGGCGCGGGCUCAGACAACUCCGUGGAGCACUCCGAUUACAGAGCCAAGCUGUCCCAGAUCAGACAGAUCUACCACACGGAGCUGGAGAAGUACGAGCAGGCGUGCAACGAGUUUACCACCCACGUGAUGAACCUGCUGCGGGAGCAGAGCCGGACCAGGCCCAUCUCCCCCAAGGAGAUCGAGCGUAUGGUCAGCAUCAUCCACCGCAAAUUCAGCUCCAUCCAGAUGCAGCUUAAGCAGAGCACAUGCGAGGCCGUCAUGAUCCUGCGCUCCCGGUUUCUGGACGCGCGGAGGAAGAGACGGAAUUUCAACAAGCAAGCAACGGAAAUCCUGAAUGAAUAUUUCUAUUCCCAUCUCAGCAACCCUUACCCCAGUGAGGAAGCCAAAGAGGAGUUAGCCAAGAAGUGUGGCAUCACAGUGUCCCAGGUAUCAAACUGGUUUGGAAAUAAGCGAAUCCGGUACAAGAAGAACAUAGGUAAAUUUCAAGAGGAAGCCAAUAUUUAUGCUGCCAAAACGGCUGUCACUGCUACCAAUGUGUCAGCCCAUGGAAGCCAAGCUAACUCACCCUCGACUCCUAACUCAGCUGGUUCUUCCAGUUCUUUUAACAUGUCAAACUCUGGAGAUUUGUUCAUGGGCGUGCAGUCACUCAAUGGGGACUCUUACCAAGGGGCCCAGGUUGGAGCCAACGUGCAGUCACAGGUGGAUACCCUUCGCCAUGUUAUCAGCCAGACAGGAGGAUACAGUGACGGACUCGCAGCCAGUCAGAUGUACAGUCCGCAGGGCAUCAGUAUUUCACCUUCCCACCCCCGUGAGGCCUCAGUGCGCUUCCGACAUCAGCAUUUUGAAGGGAGUGUGUCUGUUCUAAAGGGAGGUUUGCAUCCGAAGAUGAGUGAAGGCAGAAGUUGGGGCGCAGAGGAAAAAUCAGAAGGAAAGUCUUAUUUCUUGCCACCCCCUGCCCCCACGGUCGCUAAUGAGACCAUCCUCCCUGCUCCCUGCGCCCGCCCCAGAGAUAAAUAAACACACGAAGGCGGAGUUUCCUACUUAAUAUGCACCCGCAGUCAGGAAGCGGGAAGGAAUUGCUCCCCAGGGUUAACGCGGCAGUAAGCGAGGUCAGCUGUUUCCCAAGACAGAGCAGCCUCUGAACGGCUUGCAUUAAGGCUGGAACAGCGCCGCCGAAGCAGCCAGAGUGAUUUACGGGAAACCUGGCGAAGUCGGGCUUGCUCGCAGUUUCUGAUCACGGAGGUUUCAGCGGGGGGGGGCGCGGGGGCGGGGGGAGUAGUUACAGGAAUCCAGGACUUCAGUGUUAAUGUUGAGGGGCCCCGGGCACAAGGGGAUAGAUAGCUGGCCGCCCAAUCUGAAGUUGUGUGUGUUUAUGGAUAGAGGGGGAGUGAAAGAAAAGAGAUUGAUUUUAUUUAUUUUUAAGAGGUCUCAUAUAUUCUUCCUCACUGGGCCAACUAGCAUAAUGAAGAUGCCAGUUUUGGUGUCCGCUUGAACUGCUUCCUGUCUCUACCAUCUGUGAGUUUCCUGUACCCUCUGGCAUCCUGUGCACUGGUCUGAGAAAACAAAACUUCUUCAAAGGCCUCCUGUUUGAGUGAUUUCAUCUCAGACACCCGAAUCAAAAGGCGUCUCCUGGAAUCUUCUGGUCAGUCCAGGAUGCCUUGCCAAAUCCCUCCGAAUGAGACACCGCCGGGCUCAUUUUCUCUACUAAGUUAUUUUAAUGAAAUUGAAGCAUGGCUAAAUUAUGGCUAAUGGAGGUUGGCAGGAUGCCACUACCCCUUCAUCAGUGACCUCCCCUACAGAAGGCCCUGGCAGUGUUCACUCUGAUACCUCCAACUGAUCUCCCAGCAAUCGCAUCCCGGCUGACCCUGUGCCCCAGU